This 22-nucleotide non-coding RNA is filed under the name Arabidopsis thaliana (thale cress). Lineage: Eukaryota; Viridiplantae; Streptophyta; Magnoliopsida; Brassicales; Brassicaceae. The record is from RNAcentral.
UUUUACCCUACUGAUGCCCGCG